CUGCAGCGCCCUCGGCCCCGGGCGUAGGCGGCGCGAGGGCGGGGCCGUAAGGCGAGCCGGAGCGGGAAUGCGGUCCGAGCUGGGCCGCAUCGGUUGUCAAGGGAACGGCGGCGUCGGUGGGUGUGACGUCACUGGCGGCGAGCUGGCCGCAGUGCGGCAAGGAGCAGACUGCGGGAACCGGGACUUCUGGCGGCUGCGUUGGCUGGCUGGCAGCUAAACUGCCAGCCCGCCCAUCUUGGCUUGGGAAGCCGCUUCGCACAGUCCCGACGUCGGCUCGGGUGGGACGGACUGUCGGCGUCCCUCCGCUCCCCUCCCCCGCCUGUCAAAGGGGUUGUGAAGGAGAUUUAAAAAAACGGAAUAGGUCACAGCUUUCAUUUGUUUCUCCACCUGUGGCUUCCAGGUUUCCGUGUCUCCGCAAACAGCUUUGCAUAUGUGACUUCCUGAUUGCAGAUCCAGUGAACUCCCCUCAAAACUGGCAGCAGUUCGUGGUAUCACACAGUGUAGAUCCCUUCCUCCUUAAAACUCUUUUCCCUUUAGUUCCUUCUCCCAGUUUAUCACCUGCCUCUGUGAUGUAUUUUCACUUUAUUUUGUGGGCUCCCAGAGAUCUGUGUUUGGGGUUUGUUUUUUUUUCCCCUGGCAGCCAUCACAGAUAACAGAUGAUGCCCAAAACUUCAGCCUAGAUCUCCUUGCAGGAUUGCUGUACAAGCAUACCUCGGAAAUACUGUGGGUCCGAGGCAAGCAUUGCAUAAAGUGAAUUGUAUAUUUUUUCUGGUGAAGGGUUUAAUUUGUAAAAAACACAACAUCUGUGAAGUGCAAUAAAGUGAAGCACAGUAAAACGAGGUAUGCC
Molecule: long non-coding RNA, 847 nt
Organism: Pteronotus mesoamericanus
Lineage: Eukaryota; Metazoa; Chordata; Mammalia; Chiroptera; Mormoopidae
Exons: 3
Source: RefSeq, a predicted model, not a curated record